Long non-coding RNA from Vulpes vulpes (red fox), 1551 nucleotides. The record is from Ensembl. NCBI's taxonomy places the organism in Eukaryota, Metazoa, Chordata, Mammalia, Carnivora, Canidae.
CUAACUUCUAAAGGAAGAAUGAUUAAAUUGGCAACAGUUUUCUCAGCAGCUGCAAUCAGAGCGACAAAACAGUGAAAUAAGAGCUUCAAUGCUCUGAUGUAAAAUCAUUGUCAACCUGGAACUCUACUCAACUAUGACCUGAGAAUGAAGGCAAAAUUAAGAUAUUUUGAGCAAUUUAAGAUAGAGAAGACCUGUUUCCCAAGCACAGGCGUCAGCCUGUUCUCGCCCCAGAUGCUCUCUUCUUUAGAAGUUUAGCUAUUUCGAGAUGGAUGCUGUGUAACAAGAGUGGACGGACAUGGAUUUGGUGGAUGGGUGCUGACCACCCAUUACUCUCUCUUUUCAGGGUGCCUUCCAGGAUGAAGAGGCCAAAGCUGCGCUCUUAGGCACCGUCUUCUAUGUUUCCCAGGCUCCUCGCAGUGGAUUGCGGCAGUGAUUCAUGCCCUGUCAGAUGUACUCACACAAGAUCUGCAUUUGCUGUUUGUGCUGUGUCUUGUUGGCAAGCCGAGUUGUGAAGCUUUGUCCCCAUGCUGGAGUCCUAGCAGAGGCCCCAGGGGCCAUGAGCUACUUUUUUUGACCAUACAGAGAGGCGGUGUGGAGAACACCCAAUUUUUUGGGUGUAGCUGGGGCAGUUUGCCUUGGAUCUCAAGACGUGUAGUAGCAGAGUUGCAGGGAUUUUCUGUUUGUGGUGGCUGCGUGUGUGUGGUCUCUUCCUCACCGAAGGGGGAGAUUGUAGCCGGGAAAGGAUGGUUCUGGAGCAAGUGACUUCCUGUAUAUGGCAGAGAGCAAUGCAACACUUUGAAUCAGGCAGGAUUCAGCAGAUUGUGGCUCUCAAGGCCACCCAAGAGACUCUUCUCUGUUGUCAACCAUUAGCACUCAGGGAGAAAAAGGAAAAGAAAGAUCACAUUCAGGGCUAUAAUCAUGAGGAGUAUGUGGUGAAGGAAGGGAACUUCAAAACUAGGAACCUAGGAGUUUAUAUAGGAGAAAUAGAGCUUCUGGAGAGAAAAGGAGAAACCCAAUCUCCCCAAUGUAAACAAAUUCCAUUUGGGAAGAAAAAGGAAGGGUCUCUGGGAUCUUGCCUAUGGAAAUUUAAAUGUCUCCAGAGGGGAGGUAAGCAUUUCAGGGUUUAUACUCUAGGGUUUUAUAUUUAUAAGUGAUCAAAUGAAAAUUUGAUUUUUUUAAAAGGAGAUUCGUGAAAUAUUAAACUAGAUUUUCAGAAAGGACUCUCACUUACAAGUAGCCUCAAUGGUUGCGCAGGUAGGAAGAAUAAUGUCUACCCCAUUUUUGUAAUGAAUAUCUCUGGUGAUUGCAUCAGGAAAAGACCAUACUUCUGUAGAUGUGGAUGGUUUCCUCUCUGCUGAUUCCCUUUUGUUUGGUUCCACUAAGAUCCCCUAUUUGCCACCCAUCGCUAGUGUGGUUGAUUUCAACUGUGCAAAUUUGGACCCAAUUAGUCUGUCCUCUGCACCCUGGCUUAAUGUAGCCUGUCCACUGCCUGAGGCAUUUGCCUCUUAAGUAUUUGCAGUGGGAGGCUGAGCCUCCCAACUCCUUAGUUGC